UACGUAGGCAGCAAGCGUUGUUCGGAAUUACUGGGCGUAAAGAGUGUGUAGGCGGUGCUCCAAGUCUGGUGUGAAAUCUCCCGGCUUAACUGGGAGGGUGCAUUAGAAACUGGAAUGCUAGAGGAUGGGAGAGGUAAGUGGAAUUCCUGGUGUAGCGGUGAAAUGCGUAGAUAUCAGGAGGAACACCGGUGGUGUAGACGGCUUACUGGACCAUAACUGACGCUGAGACACGAAAGCGUGGGUAGCAAACAGG
This 253-nucleotide ribosomal RNA is filed under the name uncultured bacterium. RNAcentral describes it as "partial 16S ribosomal RNA". It matches the Rfam family "Bacterial small subunit ribosomal RNA", at positions 524 to 776 of the family's 1533-position model. The record is from RNAcentral.